ACGCGGUGAAUACGUUCCCGGGCCUUGUACACACCGCCCGUCAAGCCAUGGAAGUUGGGGUACCUAAAGUAUGUAACCGCAAGGAGCGUCCUAGGGUAAAACCGAUAACUGGGCU
This 115-nucleotide ribosomal RNA is filed under the name uncultured bacterium. RNAcentral describes it as "partial 16S ribosomal RNA". It matches the Rfam family "Bacterial small subunit ribosomal RNA", at positions 1357 to 1482 of the family's 1533-position model. The record is from RNAcentral.